Molecule: long non-coding RNA, 4133 nt
Filed under: Ricinus communis (castor bean)
Lineage: Eukaryota; Viridiplantae; Streptophyta; Magnoliopsida; Malpighiales; Euphorbiaceae
Description: long non-coding RNA (RCOM_LNC002398)
Source: RNAcentral
AUGCAUAGUAAUAUGGAGGUGGAGGUGAAGGAGAUAGUGGAGAUGGAGACUGAUAGUGGUAUGGAGGGGAUAGAGAUUUCUUUGGAGGAGGGGGGGAAUCAUAGUAGUAUAGAGGUGGUGGUGAUGAAGAUGGUGGAGGCGGAGAGUUAUAAUAGUAAGGUGGUGGCGGAGAAUUGUAAUAGUAUGUAGGAUGUGUGGAUUUCUUUGGAGGAGGAGGUGAAUGGUAAUGGUAUGGAAGUAGUGGUGAAGGAGAUGGAUAUUUCUUCCGAGGAGGCGGUGAAGUAUAAUAGUAUGGAGGUGGUGGUGAGGGAGAUGGCGGAGGUGGGGACUUGUAGUAAUAUGGUGGAUAAUAUACCUUUUUAUGUGGAGGUGGUAAUUUAUACUCGUAUGAUGGAUACUUCACUUGUUUUGUAAGAGGUGGUGGUGAUUUGUAAUAGUAUGGCGGAUGAUAUAUCUUCUUUGGUAGAGGUGGUGAUUUAUAAUUAUAUAGUGGAUACUUUACAUGCUUUGGAGGAGAUGGCGGUGAUUUAUAAUAGUAUGGUGGAUAAUAUACCCUUUUUGAUGGAGGUGGUGAUUUAUGAUGGAUAUUUCACGUGCUUUAAAGGAAGUGGUGGUGAUUUAUAGUAAUAUGGUGGAUGCUUUACAUAUUUUGGUGGAGAAGGCGAUUUAUAAUAAUAUGGAGGAUGCUUUACAUAUUUUGGUGAAAGCAGAGAUUUAUGUUUAUAAGUCGGUGAAGGUUUGUAAUGCUUAGGGUUGCAAUGAAGAAGAAUAAAUAUGAGGCAUACAAUCGGCCACCGCAGUGGUAGCUACAAGGCAGAGAACAACAACAUGAAUCAUUGAAGACAAAUUUCCCGGCUGCCUCCAGGCUCCCAUUCUCAAUUACAAGUGAGGUUUUGUGCUGUGAAUGAUGAAGAAGAACACAAUCCCUUUAUAUAGUCAUCUCCUCAGUCACUGGUGAAACAGAUAUGUUUGUUUAGUGAUGACCACAGCCUGGAAUUACGCCAUUAAAAAUACAACUCGAAAUCUUACACUAACACAAUUUUCUAAUUUUUCUUUGUCUGUUUCCAACCUGUUAAUAAAUUGGUGGUCUCCCACUACGUAUCUUAUGCAUAUUCUAAGAAAAUGAGAAUUUCAAGCUUUGUAUUUCUUUUUGUGUAAAAUAUGGUAUUAUUUCGACCCAAUAUGCAAUCUUUUUUCCUUUUUCUUUUAAAUUAUGUCACAAAAUAUAAUAAAAAGUAAUAAAGGAGAAGUUGAGGAAUGAGUAACAGAUAUCUGAAGACAACAUAUAAAUAUAUAUAUAUAUAUGCAAAUUUGCAAGAACUGGUCCCUUUAAUACGGCAAUUAACUUAAUUAAUUAAUUAUGCAUUUGAUUCAGUCAUAGAAGUUGAAACAAGUUAAUCACAUCAUAUAAAUUAAAAUUUCUUAAUUAAACAUUAUGAGCCGCCUGAUCAACAUAUUUAUUUUGAUCUAAUUGUAUGAUUAUAGGGCUCUUGAUAGCAUGCUUUACUUAUUGAAUGACUUUCACUUUAGUUUCUAUAGUUCAAAAUUUUGUUUUGUUAUAUUAUUCUGAAUAUAUUUGAUUCAGCUGAUAAGUUAUAGUUGAUAUCCGAUAAUUUAUAAUUGAUAUAAAUAUUUUAUUAAAAUAUUUAAAUUAAUUAUUCUUUGUAAUUUAUAUUUAACAUAUAAUAUAUUUUAUAUUAAAAAUACAAGCCUAUAAUAAAAUCUGAAAUUGACACAUAACAUUGUUAAAAAUGAAAGUAAAAAAAAAAAAAACUACAAACUGAAAAAAAAAAAAAGUGAGUUUAAUAGAAGUAUAUACAACUACUGUUGUUUAUAUAUAAAAUGAUAUAAAAUGACUAAUAAAAAUUUAAUUUAUUUACUUGAAAAAAUAAAUGUCUAUUAUUUAUUUACUUAAUAAUUUAAAUAAUUGAACAAUUAAAUAUCAAAAUCAUGAGAAAUUGCAAAUUCAAUAGCUGAAUCAGACUUUAUCUUAAUAAAAUUUAUGCUGAUGAAUCAUGCAACUAAAUUAAAUUAAGAAAUUUAAAUUGAUAUGAAUUUCAAACACAAAAUUGUAUGAUUGAGAUUAUCAUGUUUUAUGCAUAAGGUUAGUUUUCCAGUAAUCUGGAAGUUCUAAAGCACCAAAUAAUAUAUCUUUGAUAAACAUCUCACAUGCAAGUUCAAACAUAAAACCUGGAGAAAUUCUAAUCACUUAUUUCUUCUAUGUUUACAAAAGUUUAUUUAACUGGGAGAAGAAAGAUUAAUGAUAUAGCAAAAAAGAGAAAGUAACAUUAACCAAGACAAAAUGAUAACACAGUUGCUACUUUGAUAAAUAGAAUACUCGUUCCAAUUCAAAUACACAGAAUAUGUAACUAAAAAUUGUAUUGAAUGUAGAACUGUGAGUUAAUUAUUUAACUUUAAUUGUGUUUUAAUUUAGUCAUUUUCAUAAAUAAAAGAUUGAUAUAUCGCAGAAAUGGCCGAUAUAGAGAAUAAUUAAGAGAGAAAUAUGUUGAUAUUUUCAUCGGAAAUAAAUUAUAACCAAAAUCGAAAUUAAAUGAUUUUAAUGAAAUAAAUUAAAGUAAAACUUAAUGCAAAGUUAAAUGAUUUUUUUCUAUUCUUUCUUCAAUUAAUACUUGUUUUCUUGAUUAUUUAUACUAAAUUUUCUAAUUUUGAUAAUUUCUUACAUUUUCUUUUACCUGAAAGAGCUUAUUAGUUAGACACUGAAGAACUUUCCUUGACCUUUUCCAACAUAGCUAGCAAUAUAAGCAAGUGUGAACUCCUCCAUGAAAUCUAGCUUUUAGCUCUUUCUAAUAUUAAUAAUCCAAGUCAAACAGUGGUAUUGCUUUACUAUUCAGAAUAUGUAUGCAGCCAAUCUCUUAGAAUAUGUCCUUUUGAACUUCCAAUGGUUAUGUACUAGAUCUAUUAACAUUUAGAAAGUGCAAUAUCUAUAACUACAAUAAGAUAUUUUCAGAUUUUUCCAAAUACUUUAUGUUCAUAAAAUCUAGUAGUACAAAAAUAACUCUGGUAAAAUUUCAAUUAAUAAACACUGCAUAAAGACAAAUGAUACAAUAAGCAUUAUUUCAUACAAAAAAGAAUUCACUAUGAAUCUUGGUAUAGAUUCUUAUUGUACACAAACUUCUUUUAUUACAAUUUAAAACUUAAAAGAACAAACAACAACAGCACAUUAAGCAGUAAUGAGUUAUUCUUGUUACGACAUUUCAAAUCGAUUCAACAAUGGACUUGGCUGGAAUUUGGAAGUAGCCAAAUAUUUAUUAGUAUGGAGGAGGAGGAGAGUAAGUCGGUGGUGGUGGAGAUUGGUAAUAGUAGGGAGGAGGAGGAGAGGGUGAUGGAGGUGGUGGUGAAUUAUAGUAGUAUGGAGGAGGUGGAGAUUUGACUGGAGGAGGAGGUGAUGCAUAGUAGUAUGGAGGUGGUGGUGAUGGAGAUGGUGGAGGUGGAGAACUAUAAUAGUAAGGUGGUGGUGGAGACUUUUUUGGAGGAGGAGGGGAAUAAUAGUGGUAUGGUGGAGGUGGAGACUUCUUUGGAGGAGGAGGGGAAUAAUAGUAGUAUGGAGGUGGUGGUGAAGGAGAUGGAGGUGGUGGUGGUGGGGAUUUGUAGUAGUAUGGCGGAUGAUAUUCCUUCUUUGGUGGAGGUGGUGAUUUAUAGUAGUAUGGAGGAUGAUAUUCUUUCUUUGGUGGAGGUGGUGAUUUAUAGUAGUAUGGAGGAUGAUAUUCCUUCUUUGGUGGAGGUGGUGAUUUGUAGUAGUAUGGAGGAUGAUAUUCCUUCUUUGGUGGAGGUGGUGAUUUGUAGUAGUAUGGAGGAUGAUAUUCCUUCUUUGGUGGAGGUGGUGAUUUAUACUUGUAUGGUGGAUACUUCACGUGCUUUGGAGGAGGUGGUGGUGAUUUAUAAUAAUACGGAGGAUGAUAUACCUUCUUCGGUGGAGGUGGUGAUUUAUACUUGUAUGGUGGAUACUUCACCUUCUUUGGAGGUGGUGGUGAUUUAUAGUAAUAUGGCGGAUGAUAUACUUUCUUUGGUGGAGGUGGUGAUUUAUAUUUAUACGGGGGAUGCUCAACAUGCUUUGGUGGAGGAGGAGACUUGUAAUAGUAUGGAGGAUGCUUUUCAUAUUUUGGAGGAGGCGG